UAAUGAUAAGCUUAAUUUAUUAAUUUAUCAUGUUUCAUGGUGUAUUUUGGUGGGAUUUAUUAGUUCGAUCAGAGUGUACAGGAGCUACCGCACUUUCAUUCAAAGGUUCUGGAAAUGGGAAGGUAGGUAAGAUGUAAUGAAGCUGUGCCCAUCUGCAAAGGUUCGAAUUAUGGAUCAGUUUUCUGUGAAGGAUCAUAUUUUUGCAUUCUGUCGCUUGAGGUUCCCUACUAGCAUGAAGGAUGCACUUGCUGUAGUGUAUAAGGAUGUCUUCCUCUCUGGCAGCUCGUAUCCUUUCACCUUAGUGUGAAUCUCUCCAUCUCCAUUCAAACUAUGAUAUAAACUUGCUUUAAUAUACUAGGAAUAUAUGUAAUUGACGAACUCUCUAGGAAAUCCAAUUUAAAUUUACAGAUCCAUACAUCUAAUUUUUAUUAGGUUGCACAAGUUCAACUAAUCAUGAUGUAUAAAUGAGACUUGUGCUUGUUUGGUAAGGUUCAUGAUCAGUUAAAAUAGCUCGUUUUCCGAG
Molecule: long non-coding RNA, 523 nt
Organism: Neltuma alba
Lineage: Eukaryota; Viridiplantae; Streptophyta; Magnoliopsida; Fabales; Fabaceae
Exons: 2
Source: RefSeq, a predicted model, not a curated record